CAGAGGCACCAAAACAAUUGUUUUUUAAAGAAUUUGGUUGCUAUUUCCAAGAAAACAUUUCAAAAAAUUUAAUUGUAGGAAAAAAUGAGAAUUGAAUUGUACUUCCUAACACUUGCCUUAUAGCUUCAUACUGCUUUAAUUUUAAAUUACAUAUGAAGGGACACAAGAGGUAUUAUAGAGCCUAUUCUGCUCUGUGGUACCUAUUCCAAGACCAAACUACCUAGGACUUGAAGGAAGUCAGAGCAACAAAUGGUGCUCCUGAGCAAAGGUGAUUUCCUUCUGAAUGAACUCAGAAGGGACUAGACAGGGCUAGGGUCAUCAAGAGGACCUUAGGCAUCACCUAACCCAUCUCACAUUUCGCAUUAAGUUUCCUUACUUAUGAUUGGUAAGGUCAGGUGACUUGCUCAUGAUAAUACAGUUAGGCUAAUGUCAAAGCCAAGAAUUAAAACCUGGUCAGACUCUGGAAUAACAUCGUUCCAAUAAUAGCACAUGUGGCUCAGCAACAGUCCAGACUCUCCUUCCUCACCUCUACACACAGAUAGCAGACUCAUCUCAUGCUGGAAUUUGCAAACUGCUUUUGAAUAACCAGUAUGCAUGAUCCUAUCAUCCUCAGCUUACAGAGCAUGGUAGUGUGGUUUCCUUCUCGUUACAGGGUGUCAGGGUGGAGGGGGGUGGCAGAGGACUUCACCACAGACCACACAGUGAGGCAGGGACUGAGACAACUCCCCAGCUCCCAGCUCCCUGAUUUUUCUUUCUGUUUCUGAGUCAACUGAGCUGGUCAGCCUCCCAUGCUGUAAACACCACACAGAGCAGGAAAACAAUGAAGCUGCUUAUUUAGAAAAGACCUACUUCCCUGCUGAGUGUCACUACAUGUCUCUUUUUAUGCACUUGAACAGUCUGUUCCUGCGGUUGACUGCUAGGAAGACAGACAAGAGGAUGACUGUGAAAUGGCCUACUUACAGGGUCUUGGUCCACAUAUUUAUUGACAAAAUAAGCCCACCAAAGUCUCAGCUGUUCAACUCAUCUUUGAUUUGAGGGAAAGCCAUGUCUGUCUUAAGCAUGACAUUCCCGAGAGAGAGCUUCCAAGUCAUCCUCAGAUGUCCAUCAAGUUUAAGGAAAAGGCAUAAAAAUACUGCAGGCUAAUAAGAAGUGAAAGAGGCAUACACAAUGUGCAAAUAAAGCAGAAAAUGAUACAGACAUCUAGAAUAAGGAAGAAGACCAGAUCUUUGUGCAGUAGGGACCCUAAGCUUUGAAGAACUCUAGUGAUAGCAGGUCAGAAGAAAAUUCCUGAGAUUGGGAGCUUGCACCUUUCUGAAGAAACAGACAUGCAACAGGAUGUAAGGAGAAAGGAGUAGAGACGAGACAGGAAAUGGAAUCAAGAAGAAAGACAAAGGCAGUGGGAAAGAACCAGGCAUUUGCAAUAAUAUAGAUAAUUUGGGUGACUGAACUAGUAAAAACCUGUUUUUCUGUGUGAGAAGUCUGUGUUAAAUGUAUAGAGGCAGCUAAUAUAUUAGAGCAGUA
Long non-coding RNA from Homo sapiens (human), 1521 nucleotides. RefSeq lists it as uncharacterized. Lineage: Eukaryota; Metazoa; Chordata; Mammalia; Primates; Hominidae. The transcript has 3 exons. The record is from RefSeq and is a predicted model, not a curated record.